GCCCGGCUAGCUCAAUCGGUAGAGCGUGAGACUCUUACUUCCCAAGUAAAAUCUCCAAUCUCAAGGUUGUGGGUUCGACCCCCACGUCGGGCU
Molecule: non-coding RNA, 93 nt
Organism: Dichotomopilus funicola
Lineage: Eukaryota; Fungi; Ascomycota; Sordariomycetes; Sordariales; Chaetomiaceae
Source: the annotation of a RefSeq genome assembly